This 589-nucleotide ribosomal RNA is filed under the name uncultured bacterium. RNAcentral describes it as "partial 16S ribosomal RNA". It matches the Rfam family "Bacterial small subunit ribosomal RNA", at positions 355 to 1376 of the family's 1533-position model. The record is from RNAcentral.
UGGGGAAUCUUCCGCAAUGGACGAAAGUCUGACGGAGCAACGCCGCGUGAGUGAAGAAGGUUUUCGGAUCGUAAAACUCUGUCUUUUGGGGCGAACGUGAGUAUGGUGAACAAUCAUAGUCAGUGACGGUACCAAAGGAGGAAGCCACGGCUAACUACGUGCCAGCAGCCGCGGUAAUACGUAGGUGGCAAGCGUUGUCCGGAAUUAUUGGGCGUAAAGAGCGCGUAGGCGGGAUAGUCAGUCUGUUGUAAAAGUGCGGGGCUCAACCCCGUGAUGGCAAUGGAAACAGCUAUUCUUGAGUGCAGGAGAGGAAAGUGGAAUUCCCAGUGUAGCGGUGAAAUGCGUAGAUAUUGGGAGGAACACCAGUGGCGAAGGCGACUUUCUGGACUGUGUCUGACGCUGAGGCGCGAAAGCCAGGGGAGCGAACGGGAUUAGAUACCCCGGUAGUCCUGGCCGUAAACGAUGGGUACUAGGUGUGGGAGGUAUCGGCCCCUUCCGUGCCGGAGUUAACGCAAUAAGUACCCCGCCUGGGGAGUACGGUCGCAAGACUGAAACUCAAAGGAAUUGACGGGGUCAUAGCUGUUUCCUG